GCAGAUUGCUGAAGAUUAUUCCCAUAGCGAGUUUGUAAUCCGUCUACCUGGGUACAGCCCAAUGCCUGGAUUUCGUGGUGUUAUUGAUGUACCCCUUGUCAUGAGGAGAUUACACAAAUCUAGAGAAGAGGUGAGGAAAGAUCUUGGAGUUCCGGAUGAUGUGAAGCUAGUAAUUUUUAGUUUUGGUGGGCAGGUGAGGUAUAA
Molecule: long non-coding RNA, 204 nt
Organism: Quercus robur (English oak)
Lineage: Eukaryota; Viridiplantae; Streptophyta; Magnoliopsida; Fagales; Fagaceae
Exons: 3
Source: RefSeq, a predicted model, not a curated record